UACAAAUCGGGAAACCUGCUCGCGGAAGGUUUUCUCGUCGAUUUAUUUUCCGAAAAACGUCGUUUUGAGCUGUUCUCUACGCUUCUCUUUUCGAAAAAUCUAGUUCGACGGUUGACGCGUGUGUUGCUAUCAGUUUUGUGGAUCCUACAACGCAUUAUCAACGGCAAUCGUCGCCUAAAAAUAGAACAUUACCCGAUAUACUUGUAGGGAAACCUAGUUGGAGGUUUCCAUUCAUAAAAUACAUUCAUUUGGUGUCGGACAGUGAAGGUACUCCGUUCUAAAGUUGUGUAGCAUCGCUGCGUUCUGGACUAGUGUGGCGAAUCAAUACUUCGGGUGACCGAAACGAGUUUCCACCUCGCGGACUAACCGGAGCGAAAGGACAAAAUGGCGACGGAAGGCGGUCUGGCGCCAGGCGGCGACGGCGACAUGCCCGUGGGCGGGCCGAAGACGCCCCAGCAGAUCGCCGCCCAGCGUCGUCUGCAGCAGACACAGGCUCAAGUCGACGAGGUGGUGGACAUCAUGAAAACGAACGUAGAAAAAGUGCUUGAGCGAGAUCAAAAGCUCUCGGAACUUGAUGAUAGAGCAGACGCUCUGCAGCAGGGUGCCUCGCAAUUUGAACAGCAGGCUGGAAAACUGAAGAGCAAAUUUUGGUUGCAGAAUUUAAAGAUGAUGAUAAUCGCUGCCGUCAUUGGUAUCAUCAUUUUAGCCCUCAUCAUCGCCAACUUUGUGUGAACUUUCGGUAACCGCAGUUUAAUUUAGAACUUGUUAUAAUGUUAACGAAUAGAAUAACGCAUAUUGUUAUUUUUUAUUUCGUUGGUUCUAAGCCUAUUUUGGUCUGUAAACACCCACAUCAAAGGAUUCCAGGAGAGGUUCCUUUCUUGAACAGGACACCAGCCUAAGUACCACAGAAUAUUCACCGUACAGAACAUUGAAGUUAGUAGAUUUUAGUGUUGUUAAAAAUAUACCUACGACUAUGUAACACUUACGCCUCCAGACUAUCUCACAUAAUCUGAAUCCUAAAGUAAUGUAAUUUUAAAUCACGCCGUUCUUUUAUAACACUUACAAAAUAUACUCCUCGGAAAAGAUGAAAUAGAAUAUUUUUAGAUAAUCUUUCUUCAAAUUAAUACGAUAAAGCAAAACUGCUACCAAAAGGCUUAUUCAAAACCAUAUCUAACUUCGAAGUUGAAUUUCCGAUUUUAAUAUCGUUGUAAUAACAAACAAAGUUAAGUUCAAUUUGGACCAAGUUUCUGAAACAACUUGUAUUUUACUUUCUUAAAUAUAUUUUAUGCCUAACUUCCUUUCUGGUCGUUGAUCUUUGAUGUACCUAUCUACUCGCUAUACUUAAGUAUGUUUGUCUAUGCUUAACAUUUGUGAAUCAAGUUUAUUAGGUGUUGAAUAUGUUGAUACGGAAUAGAUAUAAAUAGGUUUAGAGCCAAUCGAUUCAUUUGGUCCAUUACAUUGAAAGUAAAUAAAGUGUAUGUUUCCAUACUUAUUAAAGCCAAAAUACAUACUCUCACUACACUAGAGCGAAAUAGUAUUUAAAUAGGUUAUAUUACUUCAUCGAUUUCAACAAUGGCAAAUAUUACUACAAAAAUAUUUUAUCACAUAGUCAGUCUUCCGAGAUUUAUAACAAAACAUUCAAUUCGCUUUGUAAUUCAACUGAAUUGAUGUAACUUAAACUUAUCACCGAUGUAAAAUAUCAUAAAAUUACAUUGAUAGGCGUAUUUCAUUUUAACUUAUAAUCACUUAGCUGUUUAUUAUAACCGUGAUUUCUAUUUGAAACGAAAUUUGUACUUAAUCGAGUUGUUGUUUGUAAUGAAUAAAAAAUUAAAUAAUAAU
Ostrinia nubilalis (European corn borer) is the source of this 1839-nucleotide RNA transcript. It is a transcript of the gene named neuronal synaptobrevin-like, with no coding region annotated. Lineage: Eukaryota; Metazoa; Arthropoda; Insecta; Lepidoptera; Crambidae. The transcript is spliced from 8 exons. The record is from RefSeq and is a predicted model, not a curated record.